GACGAACCGUGCGACCGUUAUUCGGAAUCAUUGGGCUUAAAGGGCGCGUAGGCGGCGGUGUAAGUUGGAAGUGAAAUCCCAUCGGCUCAACCGUGGAAUUGCUCCCAGUACUGCAUCGCUCGAGGGGGAUAGGGGUUUGCGGAACUACCGGUGGAGCGGUGAAAUGUGUUGAUAUCGGUGGGAACGCCAGUGGCGAAAGCGGCAAACUUGACCCUUCCUGACGCUGAGGCGCGAAAGCUAGGGGAGCAAACGGG
This 254-nucleotide ribosomal RNA is filed under the name uncultured bacterium. RNAcentral's name for it is "partial 16S ribosomal RNA". It matches the Rfam family "Bacterial small subunit ribosomal RNA", at positions 524 to 776 of the family's 1533-position model. The record is from RNAcentral.